This 1021-nucleotide ribosomal RNA is filed under the name Escherichia coli. Its description in RNAcentral is "partial 23S ribosomal RNA". It matches the Rfam family "Bacterial large subunit ribosomal RNA", at positions 165 to 1227 of the family's 2925-position model. The record is from RNAcentral. Lineage: Bacteria; Pseudomonadati; Pseudomonadota; Gammaproteobacteria; Enterobacterales; Enterobacteriaceae.
CAUAGGUUAAUGAGGCGAACCGGGGGAACUGAAACAUCUAAGUACCCCGAGGAAAAGAAAUCAACCGAGAUUCCCCCAGUAGCGGCGAGCGAACGGGGAGGAGCCCAGAGCCUGAAUCAGUGUGUGUGUUAGUGGAAGCGUCUGGAAAGGCGCGCGAUACAGGGUGACAGCCCCGUACACAAAAAUGCACAUAUUGUGAGCUCGAUGAGUAGGGCGGGACACGUGGUAUCCUGUCUGAAUAUGGGGGGACCAUCCUCCAAGGCUAAAUACUCCUGACUGACCGAUAGUGAACCAGUACCGUGAGGGAAAGGCGAAAAGAACCCCGGCGAGGGGAGUGAAAAAGAACCUGAAACCGUGUACGUACAAGCAGUGGGAGCCUCUUAAUGGGGUGACUGCGUACCUUUUGUAUAAUGGGUCAGCGACUUAUAUUCUGUAGCAAGGUUAACCGAAUAGGGGAGCCGAAGGGAAACCGAGUCUUAACUGGGCGUUAAGUUGCAGGGUAUAGACCCGAAACCCGGUGAUCUAGCCAUGGGCAGGUUGAAGGUUGGGUAACACUAACUGGAGGACCGAACCGACUAAUGUUGAAAAAUUAGCGGAUGACUUGUGGCUGGGGGUGAAAGGCCAAUCAAACCGGGAGAUAGCUGGUUCUCCCCGAAAGCUAUUUAGGUAGCGCCUCGUGAAUUCAUCUCCGGGGGUAGAGCACUGUUUCGGCAAGGGGGUCAUCCCGACUUACCAACCCGAUGCAAACUGCGAAUACCGGAGAAUGUUAUCACGGGAGACACACGGCGGGUGCUAACGUCCGUCGUGAAGAGGGAAACAACCCAGACCGCCAGCUAAGGUCCCAAAGUCAUGGUUAAGUGGGAAACGAUGUGGGAAGGCCCAGACAGCCAGGAUGUUGGCUUAGAAGCAGCCAUCAUUUAAAGAAAGCGUAAUAGCUCACUGGUCGAGUCGGCCUGCGCGGAAGAUGUAACGGGGCUAAACCAUGCACCGAAGCUGCGGCAGCGACACUAUGUGUUGUUGG